Small nuclear RNA from Dermacentor silvarum, 182 nucleotides. RefSeq annotates it as U2 spliceosomal RNA. Lineage: Eukaryota; Metazoa; Arthropoda; Arachnida; Ixodida; Ixodidae. The transcript has a single exon. The record is from RefSeq and is a predicted model, not a curated record.
AUGGCCGACGCGGGUCAAAGUGUAGUAUCUGUUCUUAUGAGCUUAAUAUGAGAUACGGGUUGUGUUCGGGCCCAAUAUAUGUUAAACUUAUUUUUGUAAGUUGGCGGAGUGCUUGAAGCCUGCUUCACAUCCGCCGCCGGUCGGCCCGGUAUUGCACCAUCAUCGGGAACGGUCUACGUUUG